CACACGCGGUCUCGCCAUGGAGCUGGAGGAGGACGCGGAUCUGCUGGACCCAGAGAGGCUGAUCCAGUGCCCCUUUGUCAAACAGCACCAGAUCCGAGCCUGCCGCUUCCCCUACCACCUGGUGAAGUGUAAGGAGAGCAACCCAGAAAUUGCAAAGAAAUUGGCCACGUGCCCGUUCAACGCCCGGCACUUGGUGCCUCGGGGCGACCUCAGCGACCACAUCAUGAAGUGCAACGACCAAGCCCUCAUGGAGCAAGAUGUAGUGAGUGGGUGCUGUGAGCCCCCACAGGAGCAGGUGAAGGAUGGGAGCACGUGGCAGGCACCUCCAUGUGAUGAAGACUGGGAAACAGAGGUGUCGGAGAUUUCUACCUCUGCUUUUGUUUGGGGUGUGCCCAACUCUGCCAUAAACAGCCCCAUCAGGGACCAGAGCAAUUCGCUGCCCUCGCGGAUGAGGCCCCCCGAGACCCUCCCGUACAGCGUGUCCUGCAGGGCUAAUUCGGAGUUUUAACAUCUCACCCCUCUGGAAGGUGUUUUUCCAGCAGGAAGUGCCUCCCUAUCUGGGACAGGAGAGCUCCUGUGGAUGACAGACCUGCUCUGGACCUGGUGGCAGGAUUCUCUACACUUGGCUUUUGCUGCACAACAUGUUUCUUGCAACAUUUGGGCAUGUUGCCAGAUGUUCCCCCAAGUG
Empidonax traillii (willow flycatcher) is the source of this 688-nucleotide RNA transcript. It is a transcript of the gene named gametocyte specific factor 1, with no coding region annotated. The transcript is spliced from 8 exons. Lineage: Eukaryota; Metazoa; Chordata; Aves; Passeriformes; Tyrannidae. The record is from RefSeq and is a predicted model, not a curated record.